Cyprinus carpio carpio is the source of this 1165-nucleotide long non-coding RNA. The record is from Ensembl. NCBI's taxonomy places the organism in Eukaryota, Metazoa, Chordata, Actinopteri, Cypriniformes, Cyprinidae.
GUCACAUUUUUAUAUUUAUGUAUGAUAAGCUUCAGAGAAAUGUAAUUUGUAACACUUUUUUUGGAUUUUUCAGCUUCGGUUUUUUUGGCAAUCAAAUGUGGGAGGGACCUAUAAGACAACCGUCUGGCGGAUGCUUCAAAGUACCUUCUCUAAUCACCUUUCCAUCAAUACAACCUGGACUGGAGUUGGGGAUAAAGCAUGUUUUAGAGACAUGUUCCUGAAGACCAUUGUUCAAAGAGCCAUCCGGAAGAACCCGGCAACACAGGAUGCCACUGAUGAAGCCGUCCCAGGUUAACGUUACGCGUUACCUGAAAGGAGCAUCUGACCGUGAAGGCGGAAAAAGGUGCCGCACAGCUGAGAGGGACCCACAGCAGACCCCUUAAACCUAGGCUGACUACUGACACCCCAGCAUCACUGACAACUGGAACCCUUUCUUUAUCCUGCAGUCAGUAACAUCAAGACCCCUAAAGAAGCCAGAAGUGUCAGACUGCACUCCCCAAUCCACACUGUUCACUGUGGAUAUUAUCAUAGUGCUUAACUCUUAUUAUAUUGUUAAAUAUAGCUUGUAAAUCCUUGUGCCACAGGUCAGCAUUGCAGUUAUAUCUGUUCUACUACUUUUUUUACCUCAGUAUUUUUUAUAUAUAUGUGAAGAUGUUUAUCACAGAUACAAGAGACAUCUUGUACCCCAGGUCAGCAAUGCCAAUAUAAUGGUCUAUUCUACUCCAGAGCUUUAUUCUAAAUUAUUACCACUUAUCUUAUUGUUAGAAAUGGCUUGUAAAUGUGAUGUUAUACCUGAAUUUUUUUUGGUGUCCUGCACAUUCUUUGGUACCAGAUAUACUCAUUACUUAUGUUUACUGGUAAUUCUUUUCAUCCCAGAGCUGACCUCUUUAUAUUAUUAACAAUUAUUGUAAGUGUUAUAAUUUGCUUGUAAGCUAAGGCUGUUUUUUUUUUUAACAAUUUAAUUGGAAACCUGCAUGUUCUUUUGUGUGUGUGUGUGUGUAUAUUUUUUUUCUCUUUUUUUCUGUUAUUUAUAUUUCAGGGAUCUGACAUCAUGUUUCAAUGACAGUUACUGUACUUUGAAAUGUGGAAUUAAAACGUCAAAUGGAAAUUUGUCUGGUUUGAUCAAUCAUUAUUCUUGAUAAACUGCAUUAUAUAUAUAUUUAUA